RNAcentral lists this ribosomal RNA (962 nucleotides) under Diplomesodon pulchellum (Piebald shrew). RNAcentral's name for it is "partial 16S ribosomal RNA". It matches the Rfam family "Bacterial large subunit ribosomal RNA", at positions 958 to 2577 of the family's 2925-position model. Lineage: Eukaryota; Metazoa; Chordata; Mammalia; Eulipotyphla; Soricidae. The record is from RNAcentral.
AAAUUUUAAUGUAAACUUAAACAUUACUCUGUAGGGGUACAGCUCUACAGAAUAAGGCUACAACCUUAAUUAGUGAGUAAAUUUAUUAAAUAAUCAUAGUAGGCCUAAAAGCAGCCACCAAUUAAGAAAGCGUUCAAGCUCAACAAACAAAUCCAUAUACAAUUUUUAAAAUUAUAUAAGCUCCUAAUUUAACCACUGGAUUAUUCUACUACCUGUAGAAGAAAUACUGUUAAUAUGAGUAACAAGAUUUUACAUCUCCAAACACGCGUGUACAUCAGCCCAAAUACUAACUGAUGGUUAACAAAUAGAUAAAUAUAUCCACACUUAAUUAAUAAUUUUCUACCACAUUGUUAACCCAACACCGGAGUGUGCAUAAGGAAAGAUUAAAAAAAGUAAAAGGAACUCGGCAAACAAAAACCCCGCCUGUUUACCAAAAACAUCACCUCUAGCAUUACUAGUAUUAGAGGCACUGCCUGCCCAGUGACACUAGUUUAACGGCCGCGGUAUCCUGACCGUGCAAAGGUAGCAUAAUCAUUUGUUCCUUAAUUAGGGACCUGUAUGAAUGGCCCCACGAGGGUUUAACUGUCUCUUACUUUUAAUCAGUGAAAUUGACCUUCCCGUGAAGAGGCGGGAAUAUUAUAAUAAGACGAGAAGACCCUAUGGAGCUUAAAUUGAUGUGUCCAACAAAAUUCAAACCCGACCCAACAGGAAUAAUAAUAUUUUAACUGGACAAUAAAUUUUGGUUGGGGUGACCUCGGAGCAUAGCAAAACCUCCAAGCAAUUCAAACUAAGACUUACCUGUCAAAAUAAUAUAAUUAUUUGAUCCAAUCUCAUUGAUCAACGAAACAGGUUACCCUAGGGAUAACAGCGCAAUCCUAUUUAAGAGUCCAUAUCGACAAUAGGGUUACGACCUCGUGUUGGAUCAGGACACCCAAUGGUGCAGCCGCUAUUAAAGGUUCGUU